Long non-coding RNA from Columba livia (rock pigeon), 1010 nucleotides. RefSeq lists it as uncharacterized. NCBI's taxonomy places the organism in Eukaryota, Metazoa, Chordata, Aves, Columbiformes, Columbidae. The record is from RefSeq and is a predicted model, not a curated record. The transcript has 2 exons.
CUUUCCCCACCCCAAAAUCCUGGGCUGGUCUCACCUGAAACGCUUGACAACAUCAUUAUUGCUUGGAGGUAAAAGCUAUGAGACACACCUUAAUUCUUAUUGCACUGAAACCCUUUGUUGGAUACGAAAAGGUGCAAAGAACUCAGUUCCACGCGCAUUGUUAACAGACGUGAAGCACUCAGACCAGAAUGGGGUUGUCAUUAAAGAGGUAACAUAUUCAUUUGGGGAAAAAAGCAGUGUUUUGUUUAUUAGACCACAAGAACAUCUGAAGCAGAGGAAGAAGACUUUCUGCUUUCACCAACUGCAAAGCUUCCUCAUGCCAUACCUUUCCCUUCCUAUGGGUUGUGCUCAUAGUGGAGAGGGAGAUGUACACAUGUGCUGUGCCAGAGAAACCGAAGAGCUGCUCUAAUCAACAUGUAGUGGAGAAAAGGAACAAUGUGCUGCACAGCUCACUUCUGGUCUCACUUUGGAUGACAAGAGCACAAAUAUGUGAGGAAUGGAGAGAUCAGAGAGGAUUCCCCACUUCACUGUGCAAUAGGUCCCUCCAUUCUGUAGCAGAGGCAUUGUAAGUCCCACCUUGCAUCCUUGGGACACCUGAAUCAUCUUGCAACGUGCGAGAAAAGCAUAGAGUGAGCUUCUGCUCUACCACUGAACGUGGGACGAGGGUGCACGUUUCAUCCCUGAAAGUGCAAUAUGACUGUUGCUCUCCUGAGCCUGCCAAGCCCACCACAGUGCUGGGCAUCUCCCAGGGCUGAACUCAAGCUGGGAAAAGAGGGCUCAGCACAUCUGAGGUUACUCAGCACCUCCCAGGAUGAAGCCCCAUGCUCCUGCUGGGUAAGCAGCUUUGCAGCGUGCUGUGCCUAUGCACUGCUUAGCACGAGUGCUUUACUGCCUUGCAGCUGGCUGGGGCUGCCAAAUUCAGUCAUGCAUGUCCAUGCUCUCACUCGGCUUCUGGUACUGAGAUCAAUUUGAAAUUUGCUUUUGGAUUAAACAAAAGUAAAGAGUUAUUU